GCCCCGGCUAACUCUGUGCCAGCAGCCGCGGUAAUACAGAGGGGGCGAGCGUUGUUCGGAAUUACUGGGCGUAAAGGGCGCGUAGGCGGCCUGCUAAGUCGGACGUGAAAUCCCUCGGCUCAACCGGGGAACGGCGUCCGAUACUGGUUGGCUUGAAUCCGGGAGAGGGAUGCGGAAUUCCAGGUGUAGCGGUGAAAUGCGUAGAUAUCUGGAGGAACACCGGUGGCGAAGGCGGCAUCCUGGACCGGUAUUGACGCUGAUGCGCGAAAGCCAGGGGAGCAAACGGGAUUAGAUACCCCGGUAGUCCUGGCCCUAAACGAUGAGUGCUUGGUGUGGCGGGUAUCGAUCCCUGCCGUGCCGAAGCUAACGCAUUAAGCACUCCGCCUGGGGAGUACGGUCGCA
This 402-nucleotide ribosomal RNA is filed under the name uncultured bacterium. RNAcentral describes it as "bacterial SSU rRNA". It matches the Rfam family "Bacterial small subunit ribosomal RNA", at positions 490 to 890 of the family's 1533-position model. The record is from RNAcentral.